GACGAACGCUGGCGGCGUGCUUAACACAUGCAAGUCGAACGGUGAAGCGCCUUCCUUUUUGGUGGGUGUGGAUGAGUGGCGAACGGGUGAGUAACACGUGAGUAACCUGCCCCCUUCUUCUGGAUAACCGCAUGAAAGUGUGGCUAAUACGGGAUAUUCUGGGUCUGUCGCAUGAUGGGUCUGGGAAAGAUCUUGUUUCGGUGGGGGAUGGGCUCGCGGCCUAUCAGCUUGUUGGUGGGGUGAUGGCCUACCAAGGCGGUGACGGGUAGCCGGCCUGAGAGGGUGGACGGUCCCACUGGGACUGAGACACGGCCAAGACUCCGACGGGAGGCAGCAGUGGGGAAUAGUGCACAAUGGGCGCAAGGCUGAUGCAGCGACGCCGCGUGAGGGAUGGAGGCCUGCGGGUUGUGAACCUCUUUCGCCAGUGAAGCAGGCCUGCCUCGUUUGUGGGUGGGUUGACGGUAGCUGGAUAAGAAGCGCCGGCUAACUACGUG
RNAcentral lists this ribosomal RNA (494 nucleotides) under uncultured bacterium. Its description in RNAcentral is "partial 16S ribosomal RNA". It matches the Rfam family "Bacterial small subunit ribosomal RNA", at positions 28 to 507 of the family's 1533-position model. The record is from RNAcentral.